CGGUAACAUUUCUAGCUUGCUAGAAGAUGACGAGUGGCGGACGGGUGAGUAAUACUUAGGAAUAUGCCUUUGUGUGGGGGAUAACUAUUGGAAACGAUAGCUAAUACCGCAUAACGUCUUCGGACCAAAGGGGGCUUCGGCUCCCGCGCAAAGAGUAGCCUAAGCGAGAUUAGCUUGUUGGUGAGGUAAAGGCUCACCAAGGCGACGAUCUCUAGCUGUUCUGAGAGGAAGAUCAGCCACACUGGGACUGAGACACGGCCCAGACUCCUACGGGAGGCAGCAGUGGGGAAUAUUGCACAAUGGGGGCAACCCUGAUGCAGCCAUGCCGCGUGUGUGAAGAAGGCCUUCGGGUUGUAAAGCACUUUCAGUUGUGAGGAAAGGUUGGUGGUUAAUACCCAUCAGCUGUGACGUUAGCAACAGAAGAAGCACCGGCUAACUCCGUGCCAGCAGCCGCGGUAAUACGGAGGGAGCUAGCGUUGUUCGGAAUUACUGGGCGUAAAGCGCGCGUAGGCGGCUUUGCAAGUAGGGGGUGAAAUCCCGGGGCUUAACCCCGGAACUGCCCUCUAAACUGCAGAGCUAGAAUCCUGGAGAGGUGAGUGGAAUUCCUAGUGUAGAGGUG
Molecule: ribosomal RNA, 619 nt
Filed under: uncultured bacterium
Lineage: Bacteria
Description: bacterial SSU rRNA
Rfam family: Bacterial small subunit ribosomal RNA
Source: RNAcentral